GACGAACGCUGGCGGCGUGCCUAAUACAUGCAAGUUGAGCGAUGAAGAUUGGUGCUUUCACCAAUUUGUAGAUCAGCGAACGGGUGAGUAACGCGUGUUCAAUCUGCCUUUGAGCGGGUUACACUAUUUGGAAACGAAUGCUAAUACCGCAUAACAACUUUAAUCUUAAGUUUUAAGUUUGAAAUAUGCUAUUUCAUCACUCAAAUAUGUUCCCGCGUUGUAUUAGCUAGUUGGUGAGGUAAAGGCUCUCCAACGCGAUGAUACAUAGCCGACCUGAGAGGGUGAGAGGAGAAAUUGGGACUGAGACACGACCCAAAAUACUACGGGAGGCAGCAGUAGGGAAUCCUCGGCAAAGGAAGAAAGUCGGACCGAGCAACGACGCGUGAGAGAAGAAGGUUGUCGGAUCGUAAAAAUCAGUUGGUAGAGAAGAACGAUGGUGAGAGUGGAAAGCUAAGAAAGUGACGGUAACUAGACAGAAAGGGACGGCUAACUACGUG
This 497-nucleotide ribosomal RNA is filed under the name uncultured bacterium. RNAcentral describes it as "partial 16S ribosomal RNA". It matches the Rfam family "Bacterial small subunit ribosomal RNA", at positions 28 to 507 of the family's 1533-position model. The record is from RNAcentral.